RNAcentral lists this ribosomal RNA (445 nucleotides) under uncultured bacterium. RNAcentral describes it as "partial 16S ribosomal RNA". It matches the Rfam family "Bacterial small subunit ribosomal RNA", at positions 354 to 796 of the family's 1533-position model. The record is from RNAcentral.
GUGAGGAAUAUUGGUCAAUGGACGGAAGUCUGAACCAGCCAUGCCGCGUGCAGGAAUAAGGUCCUAUGGAUUGUAAACUGCUUUUAUUCGGGAAUAAACCUCUUUACGUGUAGGGAGCUGAAGGUACCGAAGGAAUAAGCACCGGCUAACUCCGUGCCAGCAGCCGCGGUAAUACGGAGGGUGCACGCGUUAUCCGGAAUCAUUGGGUUUAAAGGGUCCGCAGGCGGGCUAUCAAGUCAGAGGUGAAAUCCCACAGCUUAACUGUGGAACUGCCUUUGAAACUGAUGGUCUUGAAUUAAGUGGGCGUUGGCGGAAUAUGACAUGUAGCGGUGAAAUGCAUAGAUAUGUCAUGGAACACCGAAAGCGAAGGCAGCUAACGAUACUUAUAUUGACGCUCAUGGACGAAAGCGUGGGUAGCGAACAGGAUUAGAAACCCGGGUAGUCC